RNAcentral lists this ribosomal RNA (550 nucleotides) under Ceratitis fasciventris. RNAcentral describes it as "partial 16S ribosomal RNA". The stretch from base 391 to 544 matches the Rfam family "Bacterial large subunit ribosomal RNA", at positions 2473 to 2632 of the family's 2925-position model. Lineage: Eukaryota; Metazoa; Arthropoda; Insecta; Diptera; Tephritidae. The record is from RNAcentral.
GUCUUUUUGAGUUAUUUUUAAAGUCUGACCUGCCCACUGAAUAUUUUUAAAUGGCCGCAGUAUUCUAACUGUGCAAAGGUAGCAUAAUCAUUAGUCUUUUAAUUGAAGGCUGGUAUGAACGGUUGGACGAAGUAUAAGCUGUUUCAUAUAAAAUUAUAUUAGAAUUUUAUAUUUUAGUUAAAAAGCUAAAAUAUUAUUAAAAGACGAGAAGACCCUAUAAAUCUUUAUAUUUAAUAUUAUUCAAAUUUUUUUGAUUAAUUUUAUUUUUAUAAUAUUAAAUAUUUUGUUGGGGUGAUAUUAAAAUUUAACAAACUUUUAAUUUUGAAUUAGAACAUUAAUUUAUGAAUAGUUGAUCCAUUAUUAAUGAUUAUAAGAUUAAGUUACUUUAGGGAUAACAGCGUAAUUUUUUUUGAGAGUUCAUAUCGACAAAAAAGUUUGCGACCUCGAUGUUGGAUUAAGAUAUAUAUUUAGGUGUAGCCGUUUAAAUAUUAAGUCUGUUCGACUUUUAAAUUCUUACAUGAUCUGAGUUCAAACCCGGAGAGUCCUACGU